UAUAGUCUAAUUUUUAUAAAAUUUUUAAAACUUUAAUUUAAUUAAAUUAGUUAAUGAGCUUGAAUAAGCAUAU
RNAcentral lists this transfer RNA (73 nucleotides) under Chironomus sp. 'februarius'. RNAcentral's name for it is "partial tRNA-Ser". Lineage: Eukaryota; Metazoa; Arthropoda; Insecta; Diptera; Chironomidae. The record is from RNAcentral.